Molecule: long non-coding RNA, 1610 nt
Organism: Chinchilla lanigera (long-tailed chinchilla)
Lineage: Eukaryota; Metazoa; Chordata; Mammalia; Rodentia; Chinchillidae
Product: B-lymphocyte antigen CD19-like
Source: Ensembl
GGCUGGCCUUGAGCUCACUUUGUAACCCAGGCUGGUCUCGAACUUUCAACGAUCCUCCUGCCUCAGCCUCCCGAGUGCUGGGAUUACAGGCGUGCGGCUCCACGCCCAGCCUUACGCUAGAACUUGAGGCUGCGCCCCCAGAUUUAGAUUAAGCCCCAUAGUUCAAGGCCAGGCAACCAGAGUCCUUCCCGAAGCCUAAAGCAUCCCCCCAGCUGGCGAUAUAGCUCAGUGGUAUAAGCUCCUGCCUGGCAAGCACAAGAUCCUGAGUUCAGUUCCCGGCACCACAAAAAAAAAAAGCAUCCCCCCAACCCUGCCCUGUUGGAUCCCUCGCAAAACCGCUCUCGCCAGGGCGCACUCAGAGAUGGGCGGCAGCGCUGGGGGGCACCGUCCAGUCCUACGGAAGUCCACACAGCGACGUCCAGGAGGCUGGAGCUGUGGGGUCUCGGAGUCCCCCGACAGCGGGUGAAUGGAGGGGUCUAUGGCAGGAAGGGUGGGCUGGGGUUAGGGGAGAGGAGGGCUGUGACUCAGUUUCCCUCAUCUCCAAACCCCCAGGCCUAGAAGAGGAAGGGGAGGCGUACGAGGAGCCUGACAGUGAGGAGGGCUCCGAGUUCUACGAGAACGACUCCAACCUCGGGCAGGAUCAGCUCUCCCAGGAUGCCAGCGGCUAUGAGGACCCGGAGGACCGGCCCUUGGGUUCUGCAGAUGAGGACUCCUUCUCCAACGGGGACUCUUACGAGAACGCGGACGAAGAGCUGGCCCAGCCAGGAGCCAGGACAAUGGACUUCCUGAGUCCCCAUGGAUCUGCUUGGGACCCCAGCCGGGAGGCAGCCUCGCUCGGGUCCCAGUCCUAUGAGGACAUGAGAGGGGUCCUGUACGCGGCCCCCCAGCUCCGCUCCCUUCAGCCUGGUCCCCAGCAUGAAGAAGAUGCUGACUCUUACGAGAACAUGGAGAACCCCGAUGAGCCAGGGCCAGCGUGGGGAGGAGCCGGCCACACCGGGGCCUGGAGCAGGUGACCCGGUGAGCUGGGGACCGCCCUGGGGGUCAGCAGAAGAGGGCUAGGCAGGAGUGGAUGGGGUGCUGGGGAGGGGAGGGUGCCAGGGCCUGGCGGGCAGGGGUGGGCCCCUGGACCCCUCCUCACCCACAUCCCAUCUACAUAGCUUGGGCUUCCCUAGACCUGGAGAUCCUUACUUGAGUCUGAAACCCGGGACAAGCUCUGGAGGGACUUAGCUUAGGGUGCGCGUGCGUGUGUAUGUUUGUGCACACGUGCAUGCGUAUGUGUGCAUGUGUGUAUUGUGCAUGUGUGUGCACAUGUGUUCGCACAUGUGUAUUGUGCAUGUGGGUGUGUGCGUGUGCGUGCAUGUGUGUAUGUAUGUGUUUGCAUGUGUGUGCGUGCACAUUGUGCAUGCAUGCAUGUGUAUGUGUGUAUUGUGCAUGUGUGCAUGCAUGUAUAUUGUGUAUGUGUGCAUGUGUGCGUAUGUGUGCAUGUGCAUUUGCGUGUGUGCAUGUGUGUGCGUGUGUAUUGUGCAUGUGUGCAUGUAUGUAUGUGUGCAUGCGUGUGUAUGUGCAUGUGUUUGCAUAUGUUUGCAUGUAUGCAUGCGUGUGUGCAUGCG